RNAcentral lists this long non-coding RNA (6853 nucleotides) under Brassica napus (rape). RNAcentral describes it as "long non-coding RNA (BNAP_LNC016398)". The record is from RNAcentral. Lineage: Eukaryota; Viridiplantae; Streptophyta; Magnoliopsida; Brassicales; Brassicaceae.
ACGCACCAAACAUCAAAAAGACACAAGCAAGCAACCAUUGUAGUUGAAAAUAUCUCUGUCCGAUCUAUGAAAUCUGACCGCAGUCGAUCACGACGGGCCUGGAAAGCUUGUCCCUACGAGGUUCGUGUGAUAUGAUCCUGACCACAUCCAAUCCUUCAACAACUUGGCCGAAGACGACGUGUACAUCGUCGAGUUCCCAGUUCUCGGUCAAGGAGAUCAAAAACUGAGAUUGGUUGGUGUCAGGACCACCGUUGUUCAUGGAGAGGAUACCCGGACCGGUGUGCUUUUUGAUGAAGUUCUCAUCCUCGAAAAAACCUCCGGCGUAGAUUGAUUCGCCUCCGCAUCCUUUCCUUUCGUCAGUGAAAUCUCCUCCGCCAAUCAUAUAAUCGGGGCACAUAUGGUGGAUGAUUGAUCCUUUGUAAUGGAGUGGCUUACCCUUCUUCCCCAUGCCUUUCUCGCCUGUACAGAGGGCGCGGAAAUUCUCUGCCGUCCGUGGGGUCGUGUCGGCAAAGAGCUCCAUCACGAUCCGACCAACAGCUUUGCCGCGCACCGCCAUAUCAAAGAAAACCUUUGGGUUAGCCUUUCCUGGAGAGCAUUCUAGGGACUUUUGAGGGGACGGAUUCGUACAUAGAUUACCAGCUGCAGCAGAGUUUGGGUUAAUGCUAAUGUUAAGUCCUUCACCAGCCGGAAUGUUUAUGUUGAUGGUAAAUCCACCGGCCAUUCUCUGAGUUUGGAUCUAAGGAAUUUUAUAGGUUUCCUGGGAGGAGUUAUCGAGAGAGAGAGAACAUAUAGUUCCAAUGAAAAUAAAUAGUAAAGUGAAGGAAGAUCGUCGGCCGUUAUAUAUAGAUUUUUUUAACUGUAUUUUAGGUUAACUGUGGUUAAAUCGAAUCUCACUAGCGUUAAAUCUAAUAUGACUGCUUCUAUUUUGAAAAUAUUUACUGGACCAUGUCACUCCUUUUUUUUAAACUUUUAUGCUUUUUUUAAUUAUUAAAAUAUAUUAUCGAUUCUCUAUACUAUAUCUGCGAAGUGAUUUUGCCAUCAUUUCUACAAUAAAUUUCACAAAACAAAUAUGACAUGGCUACUGAAAUUGAUGACAUGGCUUCCGGAAAAAUAUGACAUGGAUAAUUUCAUUUAAUGUUGAUUUAUAUUUUUGGCAAACUUGUUAGAAUAUCGUAAUAAUUCAUAUAUUACAUUUAAUAUUAAUAUUUCUUUUUGGUAAAUUUUUUUAAAAUAUGAUAAUAGCUCAUACAUCAUCUAUAAAAUAAACUAGUUUUUGACCAGCCUUAGAAAGCACGGGCUUUGGAUUAUAGAUAAAGUUUGAUAUGAAUUAGUAUUUUGGGAUUGUUGUACAUUACUAUGUUACAAAAUGGUAUUAUAUCGAGAAGAGAAUAUGUUUAAAAUUAUAUGACUUAUGAAUUAAUUUAUUUGAGAUUUUGUAUAUACAUUUUUAUAUAACUCUCUCUCUCAAGCCUAGGCAUUUAUUCAAAUAAAAAAAAAACUGAUCGGAUCCAGGUCCAAGAUAAUGUAUAUAUUGGGUAUUUUUCGGACCAACAUAUCUUGCUUUAGUACGGAUCCUACUCAAGACUCGGAUACCCAAAGUACAUGAAAUGUUUUGAGUAUAUUAGUAUAUUUGAGUAUUUCGAAUAUAUUUUUGGUAUUAUAGAUAUUCUUUUUUUGUUUGUUUUGGGUUUGAGUUUUCAGUUUUACUUUCAGGUUUCAGGUAACAAAAACGAGCUCCACUCGGGUUGAACUCAUGUAAAGUGGAGUGACGCUUCAGUACCACUGGACUAGGGAUGUUGUCAUGGGUAAAAUAACUCUAUCCGGCCCGAACCCGAAUCAAACCCGCCCAAAAAUACCUUAAACUAGAAAACCCGAAAAAAAUUCGGUAUCAUUAGGGUAACCCACGAAAAACCGGUAGAAUUUUAGGUUUACCCGCGGGUACUUGAAUUUUUUUGUCAAUAAUCUUUUUUCUAAAGUUUUUCUGCUUAUUCAAUCAAACUUAACAUGUUAGCUUUAUAUAAAAAAAAUGGGUUUGUCAACAAUCUUUUUGUUUGUUGUUGAUAUGAGUUAUUUGAACUAAGCCAUGUAAACAAACAUCCACGCACUUACUAAGAUUAAUCAAAAAAAAAAUCAAACAAAAAUUAAGAAAAAUAAAAAUAGAGCGAAAAGAUAUGGUUCAAUUCCAAGAAACGUGGUAAACAGAAUAUUCAAUCCAAGAUUCUCGGCGAAUCCACUUCUCCGAACAAAAGAUAAGACAUUAAGUAAAACGUCAUCGUUUAAACUAACAAUACAUUUUUUUAAAAAAAAUGCCAUAGGGUUCCCGAAACCAAGAAGGUAAAACCCGAUCGGAUAAUUUAUAAACCAAGAACCACCCAAAAUAAACCCGCGAAAUUUGGAAACUGAACAUACGGGUUUUGGGUUUUAGAUUUUAAUAGGGCUUAGGGUACCCUAUGGAUUUUUACCCAUUAUUAACAUUCCUACACUGGACCAUCAGAAAUUAUUAGAAAUAUUUUCUUCAAACAUUAAAUAACCUAAACUAUUAGAUAUUCAACCUAAUCUCUGAUUAAUCCCCAAAUUUUCCAUUUGUAAAAAUGUUUGUUGAUUCCAAUCGACAAACCUCAAUUUUGUUUUAAAAAAAUUAUUAAGAAGAAUAAGAGAAAAAGCUUUACAGGAUAUUAUAAUAAAAAAUUUAAAUAUUUUUUUCCGAAGAAUAUGAAUAUUUGAUACCUUAAUAAAACUAGAUUUAUAUUAAAUAACUUUUAUUAUAGAUUGUAUAAGAAUCUACAAUUUUAUGAAUUAUCAAUACAAUUAAAACAAAAUUUUUUUUAUCUACUAACGAAUAGCCUAGGUUAAACCAUUACAUUUAACUACAUUUCCUAUUAUUUAAAUUAAAUCUAACUUAAUUAUUAUUAAAUAUACGUAUUGCCUAAAAUUGAGGAAUUAAUUAAAUAAUCAAUUAUUUUUGAAACUUUUUUUUAUCAACAAUUAUUUAUUUUUGAAACUAAUUAAUUCAAUUUAUAUGAACACUAAAUAUAAGUAUCUAAUCUUUACGGGUUUUGCAUGAUAUACUAGAAUGUUAAAUACUAAAAUUUAAGUAACUAAUCUUUAGAGGUGUAUUAAAUAGUAUAUGCCAAAUUCAGUUAUUUAGUUAUCAGAAAAUGGUGGCUCUAUUAGGACUAAAAUCGAUUUUACUAUUGUGCUUAAUAAUUUGAUAGGAUAAGGCAUAUAUUUAAUAUAUAGUUAAUUUAAGUAGAAAUUACUGAGAUUCAAAUAAAUGUAAUGGUCUAAUUAUAAAUUUUUGUAAGUAGAUGUUUAAUGUUUUUGCUUUAAUACAACAUGUCAUGAAUAUUAUGGUGAUGCCAUUAUGGCAAGUCUUAAAUAUAUUUGUUCUCCAAGCUUUACUUGUUCUCCAAGUGGUUUCGUCCACAAGCUAUUGUAAUCCUAUAUAAAGGACUCAUUACUCAUGGAAUAAUACACAUCAAUUCCCAUUUCUCUCUUCUCUACUUAUAACACGUUAUCAGCACGAAGCUCUAGCGAUCUUGAGUUAAUAGGGUAUAAACCUUUAUUUUGAUAUAUUUUUAGUUUAUGUUGAAUCUUUCUUCAAAUCAAGCUUAUUAUCAGUUCAUGGUUUGUAAGAGUGGAUUCAUAGUUCAUACGACAUACUUAAUUGAUUGAGUUUAUAAGUUCUUAGUCGACCAUAUUGAUUCGACCUUGUUUCAAGGAAUAAAAAUCAUUGUAUCUGAUGAGAUCAUAUCGACGUUAUAAGCUAAACUCAAUCUCGCUAAUUAUGUUUGAAUACACUUGAGUAAUUGCUUCAUUACGGCUGCAAUUUGUCAUCAUACGCUAUUGUUCUUACAUAUGGAUUCAUAUUAUUGUUAUUUUAUAUAGUUGCGUAUAGUCAUAACCAAUAGCUAUCUUAAAUAUUUUUAUUGAAUAUAGCUGCAUAUUCAUAUCGUUUGUUUUUACUUGACACCAUGAUUAUUUCUCAACCUUUUGCAUAUAAUUUAAGAAAAAAAAGCAUAUUGUUCGAUGUUCUUAAUGCUUAACAUGUGGUAUGUCAUCGAGUCAUAUGUUUGAUGGUUUAAUUUUAUGGCUGCAUCCCAUAUUAUUAUUAGACUUUUUACGUUUGAAACCAUACGGCUGCAUAUUUUUAUCAACAUUGUUAUUAGCUUUUAUUAGUAUUGUUAUUUAAAACCUUAGCCACAUAGCAAAAUCUUAAAAACCCUAGUUGUGAGUAUGCUAAACCCUAAGCGUUUCGUCUUGCUUUCGUUGAGACUAUAUAUCGUGAGUGUGCUAAACCCACCUCUUUGUUUGAUGAGAAUAAAAUAUUUUAUGCGCUUAAAAGCCAUAUGAUUUAGUAUAUGUAUUCUGGUUGCUAAGAGUAGUACGUGGUUGAAUUGGUUUAUUCUUUUUUUCAAACUGGUUAAAAAAAAUGAUUGAGUUAUCGAGUCAUUGUUAAAUACCAAUUUAUCUAUAGUUCUUUGAUAUUAUAUAUAUAUUUAGAUAUUUGUUAGUAAAUUAUGAAUCACUAGUAGUCUUGGUAUAGACUCAAUUUUGAAAUCAAAUUGAUUGUUACUAACAUAAUAGCCAUAUUUAUAUGAGCAAAUUUUAAGUAUUUCAGGAUUAUUUAAUCUUUGUAAAAGUGAAGAUACCAUGUGAGAUGUCGAGAAACAUGAAAAGUUGGAACCCAUAAAAGAUAAGUAUUUUCUUAUUUUCCAUGCUUUAUAUACAAGGUUGAGUAAAGUAUGAUUAGAUAAAGUAAUUUGCAUAAAAGUUGGUAUGAAGAUCAUAUUUCAUUACCAUUUUAUAUAUGGGGGUUUUAAGUUUAAGGCUUGAUUUUAAAAUAUGUAUAAGUUUUGGAAAACAAUCCAAAGAAAGAUAUUAUCACCAGAAUGUGAUUAUCUAUAGCUCAUUAUAUUUAUGCAUCUAAAGAUUACAAGACAUGAAGUCUGUAAAUAAAGUUCAACUAUGUUGGAUGUUAAGUUUAAAAGCAAAAUUUCUCGAAGAAAUUUUUAAUGAUGCAUCUAUAUUGAAAAAUAUUAUUUUUCACAAGUAAUGUUGUCCAGCAGACACAUGAUUGAGAAAAGAAAUUAAAGAAGAUUAUACUUAUAUCUUGUCUCCUUGAGACUGAGAAAUUUAAUGAGCUAUUGAUGUUAGAUGAUAAAUCACGUCUAGUUGAUUAUGAUCAUUUUCCUGAAGAGAAUAUGACAUUUUAUAUUGAGAAAGAAAAUCAACAUAAAUAGUAUUGGUCAAGAAAGUGGACAUAAAAAUGGUUAUAGACGUGAAUAUGGAUAAGGUUAAGAUCCAAAUAGUUUCUUUAUGGAACUUAUAUUUUUUCUUUAUAGAACUUAUAUUCUCACUUGAAGUUGAGAAAAUAAACAUGGUAAUAAAGAAGAGAUAUGAUUCAUUCAUCGAAAGAUGAAAGAAAAUUUUUGUGAGUACAAUACAAGCUAAUAGAAAGCUUAGAGUGUUCAAGAAGAGGAUAUAUGAAUGCUCCAGAAGAGUACAUAGUAUUAUUGCACAUAGAAUGCAAUUUAAAUUCCCUAGGAAUGCAAUUUAAAGUUCUUAAGGUAUUGUAUUCUUAUAAGUCUCAAAAAUUUAGAAGGAUCUAAGAAAGAAUACAUAAUCCAUGUAUGGUAUGUUGUUGAUUCAAAAAUGAGAUUCAUUCGAGAUUGAUAAACCUGUAGUAUUAUCAUCUCGAGGGGAAGAGUUAAAGAAGCUCACAUUUUAUGAUAAGUGAAACAUCCAUAAGGUUAUGUUUGCACUAAAACUAAGUUUGAUGAAUCAUUCUCAAAGUAAAUCUCUCGGAUUUUGAGACACUUAUGUUGAAACAAUAAGCAAAAGAAAUGCUAUAUACAUUUCAAAUCAUAAAUAUUUAUCAAGGCAGUAUAAGUAUUUUAGAAAAAGUAUUUAUAGCCUCUUAUAUAUUGUACUAUACAAAGAUUAGUGUAAUGAAGAUAAAUAUAUAGUAAACCAGAAGUUUACAAAAUAUGUAGCAUGAACCAGUCGUGAGUGUUUGAAAAAAUACGAGGAUUUGAGAAUGUUUGAAAAAGCCGCAAACGCAGUCGUGAGUGAAUGUUGAAUUUUCUAUCAUGUGUUUUGUUGUUUGAAACAUGGUUGUGUUUUUAUUUAUCCUGCAAACUAUAUAGCUCACAGGGACAGAGUUUGUACUUUGAAUUUUUAUUAUUAAUAAAGCUAUGAUAAGAUUCUGGCAGGUCAAAAUGAUGUUAUCUAAUUCGGGUUUAGUUCGGGUUUCAGAUAUUUCAGAUUUAUUUGGGUUUGGGUCUUGGAUUCGGUUUUUUUCCUAGACCUAUUACGGACUAUAAUAUCUAUCAUCUGCAUAUGGGAGGCAAUCAUACAUACACUUUGUCUUAGGCAAACGGAACAUGAGAACAAGAAUCUCUUAGAAAUCAAUGACUUAAUGUUUCCAAAUUCUAAUAAGAAUAUCUUAAAGGAAAACAUGAUAAAACAGAAUUUUUUUAAAUAUGUUUCUGCAAUAGCAAACAACAUGAUAAACUGAUGAUGGUUGUAAUCAUUAUUCAAUGGUAGCCAAUCUAAAUUUCAAGAAAAAAGAUAAAAAAACAAGAGUAACAAAAUUAAAAACGCACCAAGCAUCAAAAGGACACAGAGCAAGCAAGCAACCAUUGUAGUUGGAAAAUAUCUCUGUCAGAUCUAUUUAAUCUGACCGCAGUCGAUCACGACGGGCUUGGAAAACUUGUCCUUAAGAGGUUCGUGUGAUAUGAUCCUGACCACAUCCAAUCCUUCAACAACUUGGCCGAAGACGACGUGUACAUCGUCGAGUUCCCAGUUCUCGGUCAAGGAGAUCAAAAACUGAGAUUGGUUGGUGUCAGGA